Pezoporus occidentalis (night parrot) is the source of this 665-nucleotide long non-coding RNA. RefSeq lists it as uncharacterized. The record is from RefSeq and is a predicted model, not a curated record. The transcript is spliced from 3 exons. NCBI's taxonomy places the organism in Eukaryota, Metazoa, Chordata, Aves, Psittaciformes, Psittacidae.
GUGAGUGCGUAGGGAUCACUGCAGCCCUGCAGCGGAUGAAUGAUUGUGAGCGGGUUCUUGAAAAUGCCAUAGUAACAAUCUGAGGGUGCAUCUCCCAGAGAAACAAAUUUUCAGGUGCAUGAGGAAAAUGUCUGAGAAGAAUCAGAAGAUGUAUGAGUGGAAAGGAAGUAAGACUGGACCCCUCCUUUUUUUGAACCUGAACUUGAGAAAUGAACAAAUGUGACUCCAGAAGAUUGAGAAAAGUGACACAAUCGUACUGAGUUAGAUAUAGUAGCAAAGUACGUAGUAUCUUCAAAUCCUGGACUAAAGAUUUUGUCUUAGCUCCAAGUUGGUGCCAGAGAGGAUCUAAGUAGUGACGUAUUGUCUAGAAAUAUAAAUCAGAAAGUUCAGGAUGGCAAAUACUUAAUAUACUAACCAAGGUAAGAAUGCAUUUCUUUUUCUCCUUUACAGGGGAUACCAAUGGUUUCCCAGUUAUUAAACUUACCCAAUUGAAGAUUUGAUGGUGAAGUACUUGUUCUGAUAAGCAAUCAUUUCUUUGCAAAGUUAACAUAAUAUAGAUGCCUUUAUGUAAGAUAUUUCAUCAAUUAGCAAAUGUAUAUAAUUUAAUAUUUUCCUUUCCAUAUCAUAAUAAAAUACCGGUAAAAUAACAAAAAAACCCAAACUUA